GUGCUCACUUUGGCAACACAUACACUAAGAUUGGAAUGAUACAGAGAAGAUUAGCAUGGCCCCU
Molecule: small nuclear RNA, 64 nt
Organism: Nomascus leucogenys (northern white-cheeked gibbon)
Lineage: Eukaryota; Metazoa; Chordata; Mammalia; Primates; Hylobatidae
Source: Ensembl